UCACAUAAUAGUUAGCUAUAACGACGUCCGCCAUAUACGUUCCCGGGAAGUUUUAGAAAGUAUGUUUAAGAGUAUUUGUAGUGCGAUGGAAAUUGUGGCUAAUAAUGACACUAAAGGAAUUCUAAACCAUUACUAUAUAAAAGUAGAUAGCUGUUAAUGGUAGCACUAAUGUGUAGUUUUAAAUGUGGGCCAAAUUGUCGAAUUCUGGCGAUUAACUUUAUGACCCAAUAUAACACAAAUAUUUCAUCUUCUAUUUUGUUGAAUAUAUUGAAAUUCCAAUAUAGAAGUACAUAUAUUUCAGGGCUUGAAAGUAAUCAUCCAAAACCAAGGGAAUUGAAUAAACGAAUUUUUAAAGAAAUUUAUCAAAAACUACAUUUUGUGACUUGCAUUGAGGAAUUCUUAAGCUGAUAAAGCUUUAAGCAAUGUGGAGUAAACUUUUUAUUAACUAUCAUGAAGUCGGACAGUAACUGGGUAUUUAAAUUCAAGGAAACGUGAAUGUAGGAGAGUAUAAUUAUCAAGUCAAGUAUUGUGUUGAAAAGAAGCAAUGUUUAUUCAUACAUAUGUUUGUGUACAUAGUUUGGGGUAGUGACUGUGAGUCAUACAAUGAAUGGCCAUGUAUUUAUUUGUGCAAUAUUGUGUUGAUAGUGAUCUAGCUUUCAAAUUAUGGCAUUUAGUUUGAUUAUAUCGUAAAGAAAAAAAUUAAGGAUCCCUGCACCAAGGCCAAAAAGAUAUUGUGCAUUGGAUUUAUUUUGUGGCAUGACUUUUGCCUGGGUACUAUUAAAUUGUUUCUGAAAAAUAAAAUCUAUAACUGCGAAAUUUUAUAAAGCAAUUAAAAUUAAAAUAAAUGAAAACUAAUCAACAUGUAGUGUUCUGAGUAUUAAAAUGCAACGUGGCCAGAUUAAGAUUGAAACCCUGGACCCCCGAUUAUUACUCUCACUCUCUAACCUUCUGAGCUACCUUGACACUGACCAAGUGGAUUUUACUUUAUUGUUUUCCUUGCAGUGGGGCAGGGAUCCUUAAUGAAUGAAAAAUGAAAUAAGUGUGCUUUUAAGAUAAAAAUAGCAACAAAAUUAGCGGAAAAUUAAGAAUCCAAUGACAUUAUUCCAGUUCGGAAUAAAUUAUCUUACUAAGAGCAUAGAACAGUUAAGCGAAAAUAUCUAAAAAAGUGUUGUGUAAAUUGAUGAAACAUUGAUUCUGCCAUGUUUUUAAAUCUGACUGUAUGUACUUGCGUUGACAGCAUUCUGGCGUUUGGUGAUUUGUGUCAGCAUUGUUUAUGAACUUUGCCUUGUCUACCUCCUUUUCCAGUCAAAAAAGGAUGCCCGUCAGCUUCUUACCCACUUUGAUGACAGACUUGGGAGGGAGAUGCCGGAGAAAGCUUAUGGAGGGAAUUGUUUUAUUUACGACCCUGACAACACUGACCCAUUUCACAACCUGUGGGACAAAGUAGAUGUGUUUGUUCCAACUCAUUUCUUUGGGUGGUGGGCAAAGACGCUAAUACUGAGGGACUGGUGGUUAUGUACUGUGCUGAGUAUCAUGUUUGAAUUACUCGAGUAUACACUGGAACAUCAGCUGCCAAACUUUAGCGAAUGCUGGUGG
Long non-coding RNA from Mizuhopecten yessoensis (Yesso scallop), 1596 nucleotides. RefSeq lists it as uncharacterized. Lineage: Eukaryota; Metazoa; Mollusca; Bivalvia; Pectinida; Pectinidae. The record is from RefSeq and is a predicted model, not a curated record. The transcript has 4 exons.